AACUACCUACCCACACCUAUCUCUCAUUGAUCCUUAUUCUUCUUAUUUUCAUUCUACGUUUUUCAAACUUACUAAAUGUCUCAUUUUUCUCCCAAUCAUUUUGAAGGCAUGCCUUAUUUUAUUCCCGAUGAUAUUGAAGGUAUGACUGAACUCCUUAUAUUAUUAAUUAAGUUACUUUUAUUACUCAACCAUUAUUACUUGCAUAUAUAAUAUAAAUGAUAGUAAUUGUAACUAAUUUCAUAAUAAUGUGUUUAAUAAAAACAACUAAUCUUUAUAAAAGGACCUAGAAUGACAUUUAUAUUGAAAUAAAUCGAUGCAAUACUUUCGAUAAUUAAUUGGCAUCUUAAUUAAUUAUAAUAAUUUGUUUUAUAUGUAUAGUUGAGCAUUUCAAGUGGUUUGUAAUGAGAGACUAUUGGGAUGAUGUUGUUACAUAUUACAAAGGAAACAAAUUUUAUCACAAGGUAAAAGUGAAGGGAAGAGGAACUGCAAUACAUGUAGCAGUAAGCAAUGGUGAGAAAGUGGCUGUGAAAAAGCUUGUAAGUGUAAUAGUGGAUAUGUGGAAUAAU
Molecule: long non-coding RNA, 566 nt
Filed under: Trifolium pratense (red clover)
Lineage: Eukaryota; Viridiplantae; Streptophyta; Magnoliopsida; Fabales; Fabaceae
Description: long non-coding RNA (TPRA_LNC004851)
Source: RNAcentral